RNAcentral lists this small RNA (377 nucleotides) under Drosophila ananassae. RNAcentral describes it as "GF26750". The record is from RNAcentral. Lineage: Eukaryota; Metazoa; Arthropoda; Insecta; Diptera; Drosophilidae.
CGGUUGGAUGCUGCCGCCCGCCAACCCAAGAACCCAGAGCAGAAGCCGAGAGGAAAUCCGGGAGAACGCUACCCUCGCGAUGUGAAAGCAAAUCUCCGGCAAUCUUUUUGCGCCAUAAUGACGGGCGCGGACACAAAAACGGGCAAGAGCAGAAAUAGAAACAGAAGUCGCGGCAGAACCGCAUCAGAGUCGGCAUCAGAGCCGGCGUCGGACAACCGGAGUGGGCCGGAGCAGAAGCCGGAAUCGGAAUGCAAAUGAGCGGCAAAAAGUGAACGAAUGCCUAAUGAAGUGAAGUGAAAUGUAAAACGCGACAAAGCAACCAUUGCGGACAAAAAAGUCACCAGAAAGACCAUGUUCAUAUCGUAUCUGGGCAGUAA